Molecule: ribosomal RNA, 377 nt
Filed under: uncultured bacterium
Lineage: Bacteria
Description: bacterial SSU rRNA
Rfam family: Bacterial small subunit ribosomal RNA
Source: RNAcentral
AUACGUAGGGGGCGAGCGUUGUCCGGAAUUAUUGGGCGUAAAGGGCGUGUAGGCGGCUGGCCAAGUCAGUUGUGAAAUCCCCCGGCUUAACCGGGGAAUUGCAGUUGAAACUGGUCAGCUUGAGUGCAGGAGAGGAGGGUGGAAUUCCUGGUGUAGCGGUGAAAUGCGUAGAUAUCAGGAGGAACACCGGUGGCGAAGGCGACCUUCUGGCCUGUUACUGACGCUGAGGCGCGAAAGCUAGGGGAGCGAACAGGAUUAGAUACCCUGGUAGUCCUAGCCGUAAACGCUGGGUACUAGGUGUAGGGGGUUUAGAUACCCUCUGUGCCGCAGUUAACGCAUUAAGUACCCCGCCUGGGGAGUACGAUCGCAAGGUUGAA